AACGAACGCUGGCGGCAUGCCUAACACAUGCAAGUCGAACGAAGGCUUCGGCCUUAGUGGCGCACGGGUGCGUAACGCGUGGGAAUCUGCCCUUUGGUUCGGAAUAACAGCUGGAAACGGCUGCUAAUACCGGAUGAUGACGAAAGUCCAAAGAUUUAUCGCCAGAGGAUGAGCCCGCGUUGGAUUAGGUAGUUGGUGGGGUAAAGGCCUACCAAGCCGACGAUCCAGAGCUGGUCUGAGAGGAUGAUCAGCCACACUGGGACUGAGACACGGCCCAGACUCCUACGGGAGGCAGCAGUGGGGAAUAUUGGACAAUGGGCGCAAGCCUGAUCCAGCAAUGCCGCGUGAGUGAUGAAGGCCCUAGGGUUGUAAAGCUCUUUUACCCGGGAAGAUAAUGACUGUACCGGGAGAAUAAGCCCCGGCUAACUCCGUG
RNAcentral lists this ribosomal RNA (433 nucleotides) under uncultured bacterium. RNAcentral's name for it is "partial 16S ribosomal RNA". It matches the Rfam family "Bacterial small subunit ribosomal RNA", at positions 29 to 507 of the family's 1533-position model. The record is from RNAcentral.